CAGUCCCUGUAAGAGCCACGCAGGCCAUCGCGCUCCCAUAUCCACUCGGCUGCAGUGCCUCGACUUUGUUACGCCGCAUUCAGUCGACAGUGCCUCUAGAGCUGCCACGCUAGUGUCUCAAACUACUAUCAAUAGUGAUUAUUAAAGCGAUCUUUAAUACCAUUGAAGGUCUGAAUCCAAUCGAGCUGUAUUAAUUCAGAAUUGUUCUCCAGUCGUCGUAAGCUGUGUUAUUUCCAGCUUUUAAAAAUGGCUUUUUCAUUCUUCAGCUUCCUGGACCCCACUGAGAAGUAUUGAAACCCUACUUCUAUGCUCCCACAAUAAUUCUUAUUUAUUAUCUAACAUUCUCCAGCUGCCAACGCCGCAAGAUUGCCGUCGAUUUCGGCUUCAUUAACAAAAACGAUGGUUUACUUCAUCAUGCAAUACCUGGACCCAACGGAGAAAUAUUGAAUUCCUUGGUGUCGUGAUAAUUGACACCACGAAUUCAAUAAGUCAUUGGUCCCCGAUUGCCGGUGCGACUGCGACAUUAGACGAUGAGCUUCUUGGUAAAUUUUGGUGUUUCCAUCCAACUUGAUGUCAACUUCCAGCAAUGGGACCCAACCCGAAGAAGACCGUGAAACAUUACCAUAGUGCCUUUUUUCCAAACCAUGUCACCACCAAGAAGAAGAUGAAGUCAAAGAAGCAGGAAGUGUUGGCGGGGUCGGCCACUAGACUAAAGGCUGUCGUGCCUUGCGCCGGACGUUGAACUCUGUCUGCAGCAGCACUCCUCUUUCCUUGGUGCUCGCUGACAGACACGUGAUGGCAUCCGAAGCGCCGGGAUGAGGAGCGUCUGAUGGUUGACUCAGAUAUCUUCUUGGCCACUCGAAGAUUCUGUAGCCACCUCAGACAUCUUUGUGGCCACCUCUGACAUCUCUUUCGGCUACUGCGAACGUUUGUCUAGCCACCUCUGCCAUCCUCUGGGCUACUUCGAACGUUUGUUUGGCCACCUCUGCCAUCUUUGUGGCUACUGCGAACGUUUGUGUGGCCGCCUCUGACACCUUUGUGGCUAAAUCAAACGUUUGUGUGACCAUCUCUGCCAUCUCUGGAUUUACCGCGAAGGUUUGUGUGGCCACUUCUGAAAUUUUGUGGCUACUUCGAACGUUUGUGUGGCCACCUCUGCCAUCUCUGGAACUAUUUCGAAAGUCGUGUGGCUGAAAGUUUCUCGGUCGAACCCUACUUAGAAAUAUGCCACAAUAAAACGCGAGGACUUUCAAUGUUGAAUUAUCUUUAUUAUUUUCACUCAUAUAUAUGAACAUCAAGCCUACUUACAUCGAUGUAGGUUAUUUCAUAUCUAGGCGAAUAUUAAACUUGAAUAUCGUCUGAAAAUUUGAUUCGAAAAUAUGUUUGGAUAAAUGAUUUUAAAUCAAUUUGUUAUUAAAUUCGAGUAAGUAUGCGUGGUCGCAAAUCUAAAGUAUAUGUUGGGUCUUUAUAUAGUUGCAUUGGUUUUCUGGGUAUAUUAGUGAAGGUUAUGUCUUCAAUAGGCCAAGUUUACUAACAUGCUUGUUAUUUCUCCUGGACAAAAAGGGUUUAUCUUACUAAGUUCUUGGUAAAAGUUGUACCUUACUAUGUUCUUUGUAAUUAAGAAUGAUUACAUUAGUAUUGGUUAAUAGCUUCACACGCGUCAAAUUUCGAGAGCUCGACAUCCGGGUUUCCACUCGUCCAUUUAUGGUACAAAUACCGAGUCAUUUACAAAGCUGUCGCAGCAGAUGUUUGAUUGCUUAAGUACGAAGUUAUCAUAAGCUUGGUUUGAAUCACAACCAAUUAAUAUAGUUAAAGAAUUUUCGAGAUAAAAUUAAUAAUGCCAUGUCAACUGACACAAACAAGUUUGAUCGGAUAAACGAAAAUAUGUUAUUUACCGCCCAGCUGUUGGACGCUCGGUACAAGAGGACAGUAAUGUUCAUCAAGAUCAAUUUAAUGUCUCUUUGAGUGCUAUUUAGUACAAGUCACAAUUAUACAUUUAGUCUUCUACCAUAACUCUUGUCGAUUCUCGUGCCUGUACGCUUUACUUGUUAAUGUUGUUUAUCAUGUUUUGUUGAUUUGUGAAAGAAUUUGAUCUUUGUUUAUCGGCAUUACUAGUGA
Long non-coding RNA from Hyalella azteca, 2115 nucleotides. RefSeq lists it as uncharacterized. The record is from RefSeq and is a predicted model, not a curated record. The transcript has 2 exons. Lineage: Eukaryota; Metazoa; Arthropoda; Malacostraca; Amphipoda; Hyalellidae.